RNAcentral lists this ribosomal RNA (254 nucleotides) under uncultured bacterium. Its description in RNAcentral is "partial 16S ribosomal RNA". It matches the Rfam family "Bacterial small subunit ribosomal RNA", at positions 524 to 776 of the family's 1533-position model. The record is from RNAcentral.
UACGGGGGGAGCAAGCGUUGUUCAGAUUUACUGGGCGUAAAGGGCGCGUAGGCGGUCGUGACAAGUCACUUGUGAAAUCUCCGGGCUUAACUCGGAACGGUCAAGUGAUACUGUCGGACUAGAGUACAGAAGGGGCAACUGGAAUUCUCGGUGUAGCGGUGAAAUGCGUAGAUAUCGAGAGGAACACCUGCGGCGAAGGCGGGUUGCUGGGCUGAUACUGACGCUGAGGCGCGAAAGCCAGGGGAGCGAACGGG